This 479-nucleotide long non-coding RNA is filed under the name Rattus norvegicus (Norway rat). RNAcentral's name for it is "long non-coding RNA NONRATT033469". Lineage: Eukaryota; Metazoa; Chordata; Mammalia; Rodentia; Muridae. The record is from RNAcentral.
CUCUUGUGUAUUUAACUUUCAGCAAUGUAAUCUUCAGCAAUGUUCUGUUUAUAGACAACAUCGUAUACUCCAAGACUACAUCAGGGAUGAGAUAGAGACUUGCUCUCUGUUUACAGAAUUACUAGCAUGCUUGGAAGACAGAUGCAAAUCAUUCCUGAACACAGCGAAAGAAGAAACAGCAAGACUUCUGCAAAAAGACUAAAAGACUGGAGGGACACAGGAACAAAAUUACGUGUCGAAAUACCCAUCAAUCAGAAGAAAUAAGCAGAAAUGAAUGAAUUUUGGCUAUUAUCUUUGGGAAAAACAGAUGGCAUGUUUCAACUAGAGAUAAACCACUCCUGGGGAACAUUGAUCAAGUGAGAGCUGGACAAAGAUGAGAUGGCUUUCAUCUAGAAUGGGUUUAAGAACAGAGUCAGGAAAAUAAUAGGUAUUGGAAAUCAAGGAAUGAAGACAUUGAUUGAUGAUGGGAAAGAGUGUGA